Molecule: long non-coding RNA, 2033 nt
Filed under: Gossypium barbadense (sea-island cotton)
Lineage: Eukaryota; Viridiplantae; Streptophyta; Magnoliopsida; Malvales; Malvaceae
Description: long non-coding RNA (GBAR_LNC020298)
Source: RNAcentral
GUUCGAGUUCAAAAUAUAUAAAAUACCAAAGACGGUCGAUAGUGUGAUAGACUAUGCUGAUGAUCCCCGAGCUCGUAACGCGUCUCCAAAAUCUAUAAGAAUAGAUAGACAAAGAUAACCAAAGUAAGCUUUUAUAGCUUAGUAAGUCUAUAGCGUAUUUAAAAAUACAUAUAAAAGAAUCACAUAAUUAUUUAAGUAAAUUUAUCGAAAUCACAAAUAUCAAAUAUAAUUACUAACAAAACAUUUCUAUAUUAAGUCAUUUCGUUUAAAUCUAAAAGAAUGUAUAUUUAACUAAUAUACAUAAACGGACAAAGGUAUAUACAUUAUAUGCAUAAAAUCAAAUUACUAACAUAAUCAUUAUCUGCAUAUACAGAUUUCUAGAGUACUUGUUGUUCGUACUUCAUCGGAUCCAUUUAUAUAUAUAAUUGUUCAAUUACAUACACCAAAAGCAUAAUUUUUAUACUUAUAAACUAUAAAGGCCGAAUGCACAUAUUCACUUAUACCCACCUAUGCCGAAUGCAUACAUAUAUGCACUUAUAUCUAUCUAUGCCGAAUGCAUACAAAUAUAUAUCCACCUAUGCCGAAUGCCUAAAUAUGCACACAUAAAUAUCCAACAAUUUUCAUGACAUCCGAGAUAUAUAUAUAUACUCACUAAUCACAAAGAUUCGAACAAUUAUAUACUCAUCAACAUCUUGAAACAAUGUUCAUACAUUCAUCCAUUUCAUAUAAAAUCAUAUCUAUAUUUAAACCAAAUGCUUAGAAUCACUUAAUUCAUCAUAUUCGAAUCACCGGCACUUAGCCUGCUAGGCUUAUAGCCUGAUUCAGAUCACCGGCACUUAGCCUGCUAGGUUUAUAACCUGAUUCAUAUCACCGGCACUUAGCCUGCUAGGCUUAUAGCCUGAUUCAAAUCACCGGCACUUAGCCUGCUAGGUUUAUAACCUGAUUCAAUUCACCAAUUCCAGACUUAAAAAUUCAAUGAUUCAACCGAAUACAUUUAUAUAUAUAUUUUUGAGUCUAUCAUAUACAUGUAUAAUUACGUACUCAUAAUCAAAGCAUGAAUUUAUAUUUGUAUACUCAUACAUAUUCGAAUCUAAUAUAUAUAUACAUCCAUAAUUUCAUUCCCAAAUCCAUAUAAAGUAUCAUACAUGUAUAUGCAAGCUUGUUCGAUCCACAUAUAUAUAUAUUUAUACACACAUAUAUAUAUUCGCACAUUAUAUAAACGCAACCAUAACAUUUGAACUUUUAAUUGGAUCCAAAAAUUUUUACUUUUAUUUACAUACCUAUUCGAACAUCACAUGUAUAUGUAUGAAAUUCACACAUCAACUAACAUAAAUUGUAUACUUGUAAUUAUAACUUAUUCAUUAUAAAAUAAAUAUACUUAUAUAUAUAUUGAUUUGAUAACAUGAAUUUUUGCUAACAGACUUACCUCGGAUAUCAGCGGACACGAUCGACUAUUCGAUUACUUUCGUUUUUCCCCGAUCCAAAUUCGUUUUCUUCGUUUCUUGAUCUAAACAUAAUCAAAUUUAACCUUUUUAUUCAUCAAAACAUUCAAUUAAGUUCAAAAAUACAUAAAUGGGAAAAUCACCAUUUUGCCCCUAACAUUUUGCACUUUUUGCAAUUUAGUCAUUUUUGCACAAAACACAAAAUACACAAAAUUUGCCCAUACCACACAAGAGCCGAAUAUUCAUGGUUCUCAUACAAGUCCACACAUUGCAUUUAUUUCAUAUUUUAGUCCCUCAAAAAUUUAUUUUCACAAUUUAACUCUAAUUACUCAAAUUCACUAAAAAUUCAAAGACAAAACAUGUUAAUCUAACACACAUAUUUCAUAUUUCAUCAACUAACAUCACAAAACUCAAACAUUCAUCAAUGGCACAUUUCAAAAUCAUCAACAAUUCACAAAAUUAAUACAUGGGUUUUGAAGUAUUCGAAGCAACGAUCUCAAAAACGUAAAAAUUAUCAAAAAUCGAACAAAGAACUAACCUUAAAUUUAAACACAACAAUGACCGAACCUAGCUAGCUUUCUUCCUUUUUUU